UGACCUCGGAUCAGACGUGAUUACCCGCUGAAUUUAAGCAUAUUAUUAAGCGGAGGAAAAGAAACUAACAAGGAUUCCCCUAGUAACGGCGAGUGAACGGGGAAGAGCCCAACACCGAAUCCCUUGGCGCAAGUCAACGGGAAAUGUGGUGUUAAGGUAGCCCUUCGUGUCAGUCUAGGCGUCUCAAGUCCACCUGAUUGUGGCUCAAGCCCAGAGAGGGUGUAAGGCCCGUAGAGACGCUCCGACUGAUUCCUGGGGUUUACCUACGAGUCGGCUUGUUUGGGAAUGCAGGCCAAAGCGGGUGGUAAACUCCAUCCAAGGCUAAAUACUGGCACGAGUCCGAUAGCGGACAAGUACCGUGAGGGAAAGUUGAAAAGAACUUUGAAGAGAGAGUUCAAUAGUACGUGAAACCGCUUAGAGGCAAACGGAUGGUGCUCAUACUGGCCUGAGGAAUUCAACUGUGACGGUGGCUGGACGAGCUGGCGUUCCGAUCUCUCUUUUGGGACGGGCGUCGGUUUGGCUAUCAGCUCCGACAUGGUGCACUUUCCUUGGUGCCUCCGCCACGACCGACGACACUGGCUACCGCGCGGCUGGGGUAAGGUGACAAACUGCUUCGGCAAUUUGUGUUAUAGACCCCGGCGUCGGACAUGGUUUGGCCAGGACGUCGAGCUUGCGGCGCCCGCUCCUUGUGGGCUCGCAUGUUGGCUAGCUUGGCUGCGCCGAUGCUUGCACUGGACAACCAGUACAGGUGACGGUUGUGGUCUUGUCUCUAGUUGGCCUCUGCGAGUUUGGCGCCUAUAGUCUGUGGUGUACUUGUGGGUAGACUAUCCGACCCGUCUUGAAACACGGACCAAGGAGUCUAACAUGUGCGCGAGUCAUGGGGAUUCUACGAAACCCAAAGGCGCAGUGAAAGUAAAGGCCUGCUUCUCGUAGGCUGAGGUGGGAUCUCGUGCAUCGCGAUUGGCGAGCGCACCACCGGCCCGUCCUAUCUGUCUCUGUCAGUGGGGCGGCGCAAGAGCGUACACGUUGGGACCCGAAAGAUGGUGAACUAUGCUUGCGCAGCUCGAAGUCAGUGGAAACACUGAUGGAGGAGCGCAGCAGCGUUUCUGACGUGCAAAUCGAUCGUCAAACGUGAGUAUAGGGGCGAAAGACUAAUCGAACCAUCUAGUAGCUGGUUCCCUCCGAAGUUUCCCUCAGGAUAGCUGGCACUCGGGAAACAGUUUUAUCCGGUAAAGCGAAUGAUUAGAGGCAUUGGGGUCGAAACGACCUCGACCUAUUCUCAAACUUUAAAUGGGUAAGAUGCUCGUCUCGCUUAAUUGGAGGCGGGCUUCACCUCUCUAUAAACGUGAAUGUGAGUGCCCAGUGGGCCAUUUUUGGUAAGCAGAACUGGCGCUGUGGGAUGAACCAAACGCGCGGUUAAGGCGCCCAAUGCGGACGCUCAUGAGACACCACAAAAGGUGUUGGUCGAUACUGACAGCAGGACGGUGGCCAUGGAAGUCGGAACCCGCUAAGGAGUGUGUAACAACUCACCUGCCGAAUCAACCAGCCCUGAAAAUGGAUGGCGCUGGAGCGUCGGGCCUAUACCGUGCCGUUGGGGCGAAGCAGACAAAUAAUCUGUGUGGAUGUCCCAACGAGUAGGAGGGUCGCCGUGGUGAGCGCAGAAGGUGCGGCCGUGAGGCCGGCUGGAGCCGCCACGGGCGCAGAUCUUGGUGGUAGUAGCAAUUACUCAAGUGAGAACCUUGAGGACUGAAGUGGAGAAGGGUUCCAUGUGAACAGCAGUUGAACAUGGGUCAGGCGGUCCUAAGCGAUCGGGUAACUCCGUACCUAGACGAGGGUGACAACUAUCACUGAUAAUACUGUGAAGUGUUAUAGCCCUCCGGAGCGAAAGGGAAUCGUGUUAAUAUUCACGACCCUUACCGUGGAGAUCGCCCCUUUCGGGGGGCAAGUGCGGUAACGCAAACGAACACAGAGACGUCGGCUGGAGCCCCGGGAAGAGUUCUCUUUUCUUUGUAAGGAGCGUACCCCCUGGAAUCGGCUUGUCCGGAGAUAGGGGCGUGGCUUCCGUAAAGCAGCGCGGGUCUUGCGCUGUCCGGUGCACUCUAGUCGGCCCUUGAAAAUCUGUGGGAGACAGUGUGAUUUUCACGGUAGGCCGUACCCAUAUCCGCAGCAGGUCUCCAAGGUGAACAGCCUCUAGUCCUAGAACAAUGUAGGUAAGGGAAGUCGGCAAAAUGGAUCCGUAACUUCGGGAAAAGGAUUGGCUCUGAGGGCUGGGUCGGAUGGGCUGGCGUAAGAAGCUGUUCCGGUUUUGGUGAGGACUGGGUGAGGCUUUCGGGCUUUACUCGGACCAUGCCGAGACCAGGCAGUAGACGACGUCAGCUGUGCUUGUCGUGUUUCGGCGCGGCAGCUUCGUCCGGCAACAAACAGCCAACUCAGAAACUGGCACGGACUAGGGGAAUCCGACUGUCUAAUUUAAAACAAAGCAUUGCGAAUGGCUGUG
This is a non-coding RNA of Macrostomum lignano, 2497 nucleotides long. The record is from Rfam. Lineage: Eukaryota; Metazoa; Platyhelminthes; Macrostomidae.